AUCCGGCAGGCGGUACGCUGGCAGGGGGCGGGGUGGCCCUGAGCAGCCUCAGGCCUGGGCCAUGCGACUGGCGUGUCCGGCCCCCAUGCCACGCCGCCGGGGCGGAGCCGCUGAAGCCAGGGCAGAAAUGAUAGGGCUGAGGCUUCAGAUCCUUGUCUCAGCACUUGCAGGGUCUCCCAUCCGAAGAAGAGUACCUUACUUGGAGGAGAGAGAGCUGGAGAGUCGUAUGGGAUGAGGUCAGAAAGCUGAAGGGCCAGAUCAUAGUAGGACUUGUAAUUAGGGAAAGGGACUUGGACUUUUCUAUUGUAAACAUAAGCAAAAGUCUACUUCCACCCAUAUGAUAAUGUUUCCAGGGGGUUGUAGAAUAAGAAUGGAAAUACAUUCAUGGGGAAAGAAGAAUCUACAGAAUGAAAACAUGUGUCUGGGGAUGUCCCUUGCCCGUCCAGACUUCUCUCUUCCAUGGCCGUGUCAGCAGCCAUCCAGUCUACCAAAUCCAGGGCUAGCUCUGCACAUCACUUUUGAAAGACCAACUCCAAAGCCAAAUCCUGUAUUUUGGUAAUUGUAUAAAAGCCAGUUUUCCCCACAUCUCCUAUACUAGAAAGCACUUUUCACGAGGGGACUGGUUUGCUUCUCUUCACUCGGGCAUGGGGAAAUACUGGGUACUAGAGGGUAGCGUACCUAUAGAGGGGCUGGUGGGAAAGGAGGAGAGACAGUUUCAGAGUUUGUAAGGGACAGGUAUAGGGAGCAGCAAAGAAUGCCAUUUUUAGGAUCUGGACCAGGCGCAGCUAUUCCUCUAUAAGGAACACAGGUCCCACAACCAUGUUUAUAAACACUUUAUUCAGGUCAUUACAGUGGGUAAGUUCCCAGCUAAGUGCACAGAUACAAGCGAGGUAUUUCUGGGUUAAUGAAGGAGCCAAUGGGUUACAUGGGACUGAGCACUGUAGCCAAGGAGUGAGCACCAAGGUUUCAGAGUCAGACCGGGCUAGAGACCCUGUGCUUGGGGGGUGGGGGCCUAUGUCCUAACACAAACAGCUGCUUUCUCCUCACAGCUGGCCAUACUGCAAGGCGGUCUUCAACAACAAACCACUCAAUGAUGUUAAGGGAACAGACAGUAAAGAAAUAAAACCUGUAUCCUGGUGGACCUCAGCUAUUGCUGCUUUGUAAGUUGUAACAGCAUGUGAAUAAUAUUUUAGAAUAUUCCAGUAAGGAGCCACAGAGCGAUCAAGUCUGUGUCCUUCUCUCUCAGUGCCUCUUUGCCUGUUUUCUUUCAUACCUGAAUUCCAUCUUUAAGCUGUGUAUCCAGAUGUUGAAAGUCUCAUGCAUACGAGAGAAGUCUCUCCGAUGACAAAGUUUCUCUGAUGACAAAAGUUCCUUCCACAGCAGCAUCCUCUGAGUUAUUGAUACCAAAGCAAGGUCUCUGGUUGGCUACUCUCUGAAAAGAGCCAUCCCACCCCUGACCAAUGCCUAAUUGCAGGCAUCAUUUAGAAGACUGACUUAGGAAGCAGAAUGUGAAUAAAAAUAGGAAACUCCAAAAAGCUAGUUUAUCAUCAUAUCUGGGCCAGGUAAUGAUCAAGUUCACAGGUGGUCUUACUUGAAGGCUACAGAAUUGUUGGUUGCAUAAUUAUCAGAAACAUGUUGGAGUCCACAGCUGAUAAUCUGUCAACUGAUGGGUUAAACUCUUUUGUCUAUAGGAAUGAGACAGUCAGAGUCUACUUCAAACCUUCUCUAACCCCCAUGCAAAAUACUGAAUCAGAAGGGGAGCCACACUCUCUACAGCAUUUCAAAAGGAAGAAAAGCCUGUCACAAGGUUACAAUUUUAAUUCUGAAGGGGUACCUUGAGUUCCAUUUGGCACAUUUCUGAAUUAAACUGUCAGGAACAGACUUAAGGCCAUUUUAUCAGUAUUUAACUUUUUGGUGAAAUAGAAACUUUGGUCAUAGCCAUAGUUCUAUAAAAAUUUUUAAAGAGGUUAUUUCUGAUUAAAACAAUAUUUUUAGCAAGUGAUACAUAACAAUAACAAGAACGUAAACAUCUUCAAAUCUAACACAAGAGCAAAAGCUCUUCACCAGCAUCUUAUCUUAAAUACAAUGAGAGUCAGUAGUGCUUACAAAAAGUAGAGGGUUUUCUUACAGGGAAUCAGAAAAUUAUCAAAAUAAGGCACAGACUGUUGUUAUCACAGAUUUGUGUUAGGCAGUAGUGUUUUUUUCUGGAAGGCACAAGUUGGAAAUCGAUUACCCAAAGGUUUAAAAUGUGGUUCUAAAAAUAACGCUGAAUGACAAGGAUACGUAACUGGGAGCAAUGGCAAUUAAUCAGUGAUGACAUUACAUCUAGAUGAUAGCACUCUGGAACUUCAGAAGGCCUCUUCAUCAGCCCAUAUGUAAAUCGGGAAAGACACUGUGCAAAAUGUGGACGGGGCCGGCCGGCCUUCUAAUUUGGAGUGCAUAUUCUUAAAAAACAAAGGCACGUUUCCUAGAAAUUCAAUUUUACAUUAACACAAAAUAAUCACUUUAGAGAUAGCAGUAGGUAAGCUUGAUAAUAUAG
Long non-coding RNA from Callithrix jacchus (white-tufted-ear marmoset), 2539 nucleotides. RefSeq lists it as uncharacterized. Lineage: Eukaryota; Metazoa; Chordata; Mammalia; Primates; Cebidae. The record is from RefSeq and is a predicted model, not a curated record.